This 538-nucleotide ribosomal RNA is filed under the name uncultured bacterium. RNAcentral describes it as "bacterial SSU rRNA". It matches the Rfam family "Bacterial small subunit ribosomal RNA", at positions 777 to 1319 of the family's 1533-position model. The record is from RNAcentral.
AAUAGAUACCCUGGUAGUCCACGCCCUAAACGAUGUCUACUAGUUGUCGGGGGGUAACUCCUUCGGUAACGCAGCUAACGCGUGAAGUAGACCGCCUGGGGAGUACGGUCGCAAGAUUAAAACUCAAAGGAAUUGACGGGGACCCGCACAAGCGGUGGAUGAUGUGGAUUAAUUCGAUGCAACGCGAAAAACCUUACCUACCCUUGACAUGCCACUAACGAAGCAGAGAUGCAUUAGGUGCCCGAAAGGGAAAGUGGACACAGGUGCUGCAUGGCUGUCGUCAGCUCGUGUCGUGAGAUGUUGGGUUAAGUCCCGCAACGAGCGCAACCCUUGCCAAUAGUUGCUACGAAAGGGCACUCUAUUGGGACUGCCGGUGACAAACCGGAGGAAGGUGGGGAUGACGUCAAGUCCUCAUGGCCCUUAUGGGUAGGGCUUCACACGUCAUACAAUGGCUGGUACAGAGGGUUGCCAACCCGCGAGGGGGAGCCAAUCCCACAAAACCAGUCGUAGUCCGGAUUGCAGUCUGCAACUCGACUGC